Tachysurus fulvidraco (yellow catfish) is the source of this 2950-nucleotide long non-coding RNA. RefSeq lists it as uncharacterized. The record is from RefSeq and is a predicted model, not a curated record. NCBI's taxonomy places the organism in Eukaryota, Metazoa, Chordata, Actinopteri, Siluriformes, Bagridae. The transcript is spliced from 2 exons.
AUUACUGUGAAAUUUACUAAAACAUUGGAACUAAUGACACAAACUGGAGCUGGGACACAAACUAAAUGUACUGUGUGAGCUGCAGGGUUUAAAAGCAGCACUGACAUGGAAAUGAUGGAAAUAAAUAGAACUUGGAGACUAAACUUACACAAGAGUCUCUGGUCAGCUCACACUAUCAGAAUAUAUAAUUGAUGGAUUUACCCUCCAUCAGGGGGCAGAAGGGCUGCAUGAUGAAGGUUAAAAUGAUCAUCAAGAGGCAGUUAUCUGUCAGCUAUCAGCUUUUUUAUUUCACUUAUAAACAGAAGAGAAAUAAAGAAGUUCUGUGUAUUAUAAUAUAAGAAGAUGUAAAAUUGUGUUCAGUGUACAAGUGGGUCUGUUUUACACUCUAACUGUUAUAAUAAAAUUAAAUUGUAAUAAGACUCCACUGUAGAAAACAGAAUGAUUCAGAGCUGAAUGAACUAAACCUACACUAUACAUGUCAGUAUUUGUACUAUACAUUUGUGUUGUCAAGGUUUUAGUUAGAAACACAAGUCUAUCAACAUGAUCCAGCUUUAGUGAGGACCACAAGAGAGGAACAAUAUUCCCCCAGUACUAAAAGCCCUCUCUGAAGGGGAACCUACACCUGACCUAAAUGAUAUUAAAAACUGGACACUGCUGAGUUUGUUAUUCAGAGAUUAUAAAUUACUCCCCAAGGUUUUGGCCAACAGACUGAGUGAAGUGUUAGAACAAGUCGUCCAUCGUGAUCAGACAGAUUGUGUCCCAGGAAGAUGAAUGUUUAUAAUAUUUCUGUUAUCUGGGAUCUUUUAGAUAUCAGUAAGAGUCUUAAGCAGAUUUUGGUCUAGUGUCAGUAGACCUAGAAAAGACUUUUGACCGAGUCGAACACAACUAUUUAUGAAUGUGUUCACAGCAUUUAGUUUUAGUCCUGAUUUUGUUUCCAUGAUAAAGGUUUUGUACAGUGAUGUUGAAAGUCUACUGAAAGUUAAUGGUGACUUAUGUGGUUACUUAUAAAGUUUAUAGAGGUGUUAUAAAAGUUGUGUCUUGUCUGGUGUGUUGUAUACUUUAGUAAUAAAAAGACUUUUAAACAAGUUAAGAACAGAUUUGUACUGAUUAUAUAUUCUGAAGUUCACAAACCUGUUUAUCAGCUGAUGAUGAUGAUGAUGAUGAUGAUGAUGUUUUAAUUAAAUCAGAGGUAAGUUUGAUGUUGGAAAUAUUAAAACAAUUUAAAAACAUCUCUGUUACAAAAGUAAAGUGAUAUAAAUGUAAACCCAUGGAUGUCCAUAUUGUUUACAGAGUUAAAGUGUUUCAUGCCUUUCUGCAGUGUAAUAGAUGAACAUUUAUUGUGUUCUAGUCUAUUUGAUGUGAGGAAACUUUCUCACUAGAAAUCUUUAUUUGUGGUUUCUGUCAAUUAUUUAUUUAAUAUAUCUGACAAUAUUUUAGUUAUUGUAAUAAAGGGGUUUAUAUGUGUUGAUGAAGAGUGUGUUAUUGUGUCUCUAUACAGUUUGGAGAGUUGUGGUGUCUCAGAUGAAGGCUGUGCUGCUCUGACUUCAGCUCUGAGAUCAAACCCCUCACACCUGAGAUACCUGGAUCUGUCCUAUAAUAAACUAGGAGACUCAGUAAAGAAGCUGCUGUCUGAUCUUAAGGAUGAUGAACAUUACAAACUACAGACAGUGAGGUGAGUAAUGACCUGUUAAUAAAAGUUUACCCUCAUUAUCAUUACACAUUGAUACACAUCACAUUUCUCUUCAAUAACUUUCACAUUAUCAGGUUAGAAAAUGUCACUAUAUUCUGUUUAAUCAGGAUUUUUCUAACGAUUCUCUUUAAUGCUGUUUUGUGUUCAGUAAAGUGUGUUGAUGUAAAAUUCAUGUGAAGGCAGAAAACAGGGAUUCAGACAGUCUACAAAAAGUCACCAAUGAGUUGAUGAGAGUGAUUGUUAAUGAACAUUGUGUCUUCUGUCAUUCCUGUAAAUUCACCUGAGUUUGUUCUUAAAGUCUGCACUUAAAUAUAAAUGUAGAACAAGAUCUAAAUGACACAGUAGUGUUUGUUAUAUAAAAAAGCUCCUGUGAUUGGAUAAGAGCAGUGAUGUGAUGGGUAAAGAUCUGCUCAUUAUCCUGUUAGAACUUGUGGAAGUUCUCAUUUGUUCUAGUUAAAUGUUAGAACACAGAUGUUAGUAAGAAUGAAGAAAUGUUGAAUGAUUCAUUAUAAACAGGAGAUGAUGAUGUUUCUGUUGGAGCAGAGAUGAUUACAUGCUGUUGGUCAUGAAGUACCACAGUCCACUUUGUGCUGAUUAAUUCACAUCUUUUUCUUUCAUAUUCAGGCUCUAAUGAAUAUCUGUGUGUGAUGAAGACUCCAGUGUUCCUGCAUUACCAUGAUGGAGAAUAGAGAACAUGUUUAUUAACACAUCACUCAUUUAGUUCUAACACAUUAAACACACACAGAGACGUGAGAAGUGUGUGUUCAUCGUGUACAGUGAAUCAGACUAAACACAAUUCUACACUGAGUUUAUAAUGACCUCUGAUCCCUGGAUAAAAUUCCCUGGACCUCAAUCCCAUAAAAACCUGAGGGAUUAUUUGUAACAGCAGGUGAAAAUCCACAUGAACUCGAGCUGAACCCUGUUCAUUUUACUGUUUGUGUCAUUUAUUAUGUGUUUAUUAUUGUGAUAUAAUUUACACUUUUUACACAUGUACACUUAUAGCUAUAUUACUGGGUACAUGACUAAAAUUAUAUUGUAUAAAGGCACUUAAAAUGUCUUGUAUAAAUACAUCAUACAUUUAUAAAGAAUAAAAUACAUAAAUACAACGUCAUUAUUUUUGUUGUGUAAAAUUAAUAGUCUGACAUUCUGUAGAAAAACUAUUUUUGUUCUUCAAAUAUAUAAUCUAUAUAAAUAAAGUUCUUCAAAAAUAAAUGCAUGUCUAACACAAUAUAUAGUUACAGAAUGUAUUUCUGAAGAGAA